GGUACAGGUCGGGAAAAGUCAAUCAACAAUUUCCUUAUUUGCUUCAUCUGGGGAUACAGAGCUAUGAUACAAAGUUUCUGAAGAUAUAUCCAGAUCUUCAGCCUACUCCAUUGCAACUUGAGGAAGAUUUGGAACAGCUUAAAGUUCUCGAGAACGGCUAUAAGAUGAAGGU
This is a long non-coding RNA of Arachis duranensis, 172 nucleotides long. RefSeq lists it as uncharacterized. The record is from RefSeq and is a predicted model, not a curated record. Lineage: Eukaryota; Viridiplantae; Streptophyta; Magnoliopsida; Fabales; Fabaceae. The transcript is spliced from 2 exons.